GAGUCAAACUAUAACUUGUUUCGAUUGUGAUCGUAGUUGGUGGUAAACGGUAAAUCUCCUAGUCGACGAAGCUCAACAAAUCUGAGGGUGGCAUGUUCGACACGUGGUGUCUGCAUGCAUCAAAUACAAUGUUCUUUCUUUUUAACCUUUAAAUAUUAUUUUAUCGUGUAUCAAAUAUUCUUUUGGUCAAAUCUCCAAAAUAACAUAUUUCUAACUUUAUAUCACAAAAAUAACAUUCCAAAACUAAAAUGAUCAAAAUAGCACAUUUCUAAGUUUAUCUUUUGAAAAUUUUAAUUUUUUUAUUUUUCAAAAUUUGAAAUCUUAUCCCCAAAACCUCAUUUCUCAACUCUAAACCCUAAACUCUAAACCCUAAACCCUAAACUUUAAACUCUAAACCCUAAACUCUAAACCUUAAAUUCUAAACCCUAAACCCUAACCCCUAAAUCCUAAACCCCACCCUUUAACUCUAAACCCUAAGUUUGUGACUUUUGAUAAAACAUUAAAUGUUAUUUUUGUGACUUUUGACUUUGAAUGCUAGUUUGGGAACAAAAACUUGAUUUAGUGCUAUUUUUGUUUUUUUCUCUAUUCUUUUGGUUAAAUUAUAUAUACGAAAACUUGGAGAAGAAGCAUUCAUUUAUCGGUCGCACACUUCUUCGUAAAGAUAGAGGACAAUGGAAAAAAGAAAAAAGAAAAAAGGUAAAAAGACGGCCUCUUCGCAAAUAAAGGCACCACGUAUUAGGCACUUAAGAAAGAGUGAAACGUAUAUAUUAAGCUGAAUAACAUACCAAAUAAAGACAGUACAGUAACAAACCGAAUAUUAAGAACGGGACAAUAGUUACCAAAACAAACUAUGUAAAUUAUAACAAGUAGCUACUAUCUAUGCACAACCCUUGUUUCAUAAGGUAUUAACCUAGAGCGGACAA
This 923-nucleotide long non-coding RNA is filed under the name Brassica napus (rape). Its description in RNAcentral is "long non-coding RNA (BNAP_LNC019523)". The record is from RNAcentral. Lineage: Eukaryota; Viridiplantae; Streptophyta; Magnoliopsida; Brassicales; Brassicaceae.